UGUAUGAUUGAAAAUAGGAGAGAAAAAUAAAAUAUAAUGAACUAUAAUUUAAUGAGGGCCAAACGGGGCUUAAUAUACAUGAAAAUAUAGGCCAUAAAGUUCUUGGCUUACUUGAUCUAGGAUAAAAAAUUUUCAGGGAUAGAUACCGUAGAUUUUAGUGCUGGAUUAUGAUAAUUGAGAUUUCGCUUUGUUUUAAAAAAAAAAAAGAAAAAAGAAAAAAAAAAGGUUGAACCCCAACUUUGAGGGUCCCCCAUCGCCUCGUCCUUAGAGUUUUGUGAAGGAGGUAAAUCGCGGGAUGUGUCUCAGCAGGUCAGGGAACAAGAGUUGUCAGUACACUGCAUCUACAAUGAGUCCAAUUCCACGUCUCAGGAAUCGAACCCUCACACUACGGUUGCCAGCAAGAUAUGAGAUAACCUCACUCUUGCCCUUUGCACCAUUGGAUUAUGUCCCGAAAGGCAAGAUUUUGCUUUGUUAUUAUUUAUACAACAUGGUGAAAGAGCCUCAUUUAUAAUUCUUUUUCUGAACUUGCUUUGCACAACAGAUUAGUAGGUACGUCUCUGACUCACAAUACUAUCUCCAAGUCAAUUAUCGACAAAUAAGGAAUAAAUUGAAGGUUGUUCUCUUCUCAAUUCUGCAGAGAGACAUUGGACGAGAAUCACAGAGCCAGUGGGUGGCAGGCAUUCCUACAAAUCCCCCAUUUACGAUAUUAAUGCACCAGACUUGUAUAUUCUACUCAUGGCAUUUGGUACCUAUGUUGUUCUUGUCGGCUUAACUCUGGGUCUGAAUGGAAAGUUCAGCCCAGAAGCUCUGAACUGGCUGUUUGUCAAGGGGAUGGUGGGCUGGUUUUUGCAAGUCACACUGCUGAAAAUGUCAUUAUUUUCAUUGGGUGGUUGAGAGGCACCUUUGCUCGAGAUCGUGGCAUAUGCUGGAUACACUUUACUUUUAUAGGAUUGUCUCUGGCCUUCUUGCGACGAAUUUUCUCGAGCUAUCCAAAAAGCCAAAGAAAUCCAUGUAUACAUGUUGUGUCUGUUAAAGUGCUACAACACUUCACUACAUAUUUUUUGCGCUUGAUGUAGGAAGUUCCCCCUUUGAUGUGCCAGAACUACUGGCAUGUUUAGUAAGGCAGUCUAGCCCAUUUCUGGGUCAAAUUGGCAUUUAUAAAGGUAUGUGGUUGAUUAUGGUGAA
This is a long non-coding RNA of Olea europaea var. sylvestris, 1185 nucleotides long. RefSeq lists it as uncharacterized. The record is from RefSeq and is a predicted model, not a curated record. NCBI's taxonomy places the organism in Eukaryota, Viridiplantae, Streptophyta, Magnoliopsida, Lamiales, Oleaceae. The transcript has 3 exons.